CCCGCUGAACUUAAGCAUAUCAAUAAGCGGAGGAAAAGAAACUAACAAGGAUUCCUUUAGUAGCGGCGAGCGAACAAGGAUUAGCCCAGCACCGAAUCCUAUGGCUCACGUCAUUAGGAAAUGUGGUGUUUGGAUCAAGUCUUACGGCAUAUUGGAGUUGUUCUAAGUCCACGUGAUUGUGGCAUUGAGUCCACAGAGGGUGUAAGACCCGUAUGAACAAUACAGUAUGUCCAGGAUUUGCUCCUAGAGUCGGGUUGUUUGGGAAUGCAGCCCAAAUCGGGUGGUAAACUCCAUCCAAGGCUAAAUACAACACGAGUCCGAUAGCGAACAAGUACCAUGAGGGAAAGUUGAAAAGAACUUUGAAGAGAGAGUUCAAUAGUGCGUGAAACCACUCAAAGGUAAUCGGGCAGAGCUGAAAGAAGAAUUGCACAUUUGUAUUUUGCCUUGUGAAUUGUUAGUCCUGGAGACAUUUACGUGCUUCAAGCUGGCAUAUGCGGCAAGGCGUUGUGCUAUUGUGUAAUUCUGACACCAUGAUCGGUUACAAAGUAGGCCUGUUGGUUGGUAAGCUAGCCAAUUUCUUAAAUUGGUGUUAUAGACCUGCCUAGCAGUGCUUCACUGAAAACCGAACUGCGAUGCAAGCCAUUGUGGCGAACAUGACUUUCUGUGGUGCGAAGAAGAGUUGUUGACUCAUUAUAGAGUUGGCUCCUCUCGCGGAGUAUUAUGGUUUGUCCUCUGUUCGUUGCAUCAAUAAUCUAUGGUGCAAUUGUAAGUAUCCUGCCCGACCCGUCUUGAAACACGGACCAAGGAGUUUAACAUGCGCGCGAGUCAUUGGGAAUUACGAAGCCUAAAGGCGCAGUGAAAGUAAAGGCUUAACUUGUUUGAGCUAAGGUGGGAUCUUGGCUUUCAAUGUGUGGCAACAUACAUGGGCUAUGCGCACUACCAGCUCGUCCCAUGCUUUAUAAAGUGGGGCGACGCAAGAGCGCAGAUGUUGAGACCCGAAAGAUGGUGAACUAUUCUUGUGCAGGUUGAAGCCAGAGGAAACUCUGGUGGAGGACCGUAGCGAUUCUGACGUGCAAAUCGAUCGUCAAACAUGAGUAUAGGGGCGAAAGACUAAUCGAACCUUCUAGUAGCUGGUUCCUUCCGAAGUUUCCCUCAGGAUAGCUGGUACUCGGGAAACAAACAGUUUUAUCCGGUAAAGCGAAUGAUUAGCAGUAUUGUGGGAUAACAUAUCCUCAAAUGAUUCUCAAACUUUAAAUGGGUGAGAUGCUCAACUCUCUUGAAUCAUGGAGUUGGGCUUUCGAAUGUGAGUGCCUAGUGGGCCAUUUUUGGUAAGCAGAACUGGCGCUGUGGGAUGAACCAAACGUCUGGUUACGGAGCCAAACAUAACGCUCAUGAGAAACCACAAAAGGUGUUGGUUGAUUUUGACAGCAGGACGGUGGCCAUGGAAGUCGGAAUCCGCUAAGGAGUGUGUAACAACUCACCUGCCGAAUCAACCAGCCCUGAAAAUGGAUGGCGCUUGAGCGUUGGUCCUAUACCAGACCGUUACCGUGAUGUUAAAAGGAGACGGUAACGAGUAGGAAGGCGCCGUAAUGAGCGUGGAAGCCUAGGCCGUAAGGCUGGGUGGAGCCAUUACGGGUGCAGAUCUUGGUGGCAGUAGCAAAUAUUCAAGUGAGAACCUUGAAGACUGAAGUGG
Molecule: ribosomal RNA, 1693 nt
Filed under: Brachyrhynchoides triplostylis
Lineage: Eukaryota; Metazoa; Platyhelminthes; Rhabdocoela; Polycystididae
Description: eukaryotic LSU rRNA
Rfam family: Eukaryotic large subunit ribosomal RNA
Source: RNAcentral